Long non-coding RNA from Apodemus sylvaticus (European woodmouse), 829 nucleotides. RefSeq lists it as uncharacterized. Lineage: Eukaryota; Metazoa; Chordata; Mammalia; Rodentia; Muridae. The transcript is spliced from 3 exons. The record is from RefSeq and is a predicted model, not a curated record.
CUGUCACGAUGGACACAAGUCGCCAUUAGUUAAGUGAAGUGUGCUAGUUAACUGAAGAGUGUGAUCCACCCAUCUCUCACUCCAGAGUCCUGACACACACACAGAACUUCACAGGAAGAAAGCUUCUUUGUCUGGGGAUGGUUCGAUGGGAGCAGAAGACAGAAGUCAAAUUUCUGCUCCCUUAGUUUCUUACUAUUGCACAGAAGUAUUGUCCCCUAGAGCAUCCUUUCGUGAGAGAGGACACUGAUCCAUCGUGGGAACUUUACUCUCAUCUUAGGUCUCCUGUAGCCCAGGCUGGCCUAGAACUUCAUAAGGAGCUAAAUAAAGCUGGCCUUGAACUCCCAAGUCUCUCCAGACUCCAGACCAUUACUGCAAGGGUUAGCCACUGACCGUGGCACAUAUAUUCAACAGUCCUCUGCAGCAUCAGGGCAUGGGGGGGGCACUUGACUCUACCUCUCCAGUGCUGGGAUCUCAGCCAUCUGCCACCACACCCAGCUUAUUCUGAGAAAGGAUCUCCCCAAGCAGCACAUUGUCAUCUCCAGCUCACGGAUUUGAUUUCCCUACCUCCACUGUGCUACAUCUCCUGCUCGUUAUCCCUGACCUUGGAAGUGGCGGCUUUCAAUUUGAUAAAGCAAGGCCAGCUAACAGGACAAGCAUCUGUGGAACAGAGGACACUCUGGAGUCCUGUAUCCCAGUGCAGAGACAUGGGGCCUCCAGAGCUGCUGUGGUUAGUUCUGUCUCUACUCUAGAACACACACUUCUUAGCCCUCUGGAACAGUUGACUGGGGCUCCAGCCCAGCCAGUGUCCAUUUACCCCAUGGACCAUAUG